Falco peregrinus (peregrine falcon) is the source of this 5847-nucleotide long non-coding RNA. RefSeq lists it as uncharacterized. The record is from RefSeq and is a predicted model, not a curated record. Lineage: Eukaryota; Metazoa; Chordata; Aves; Falconiformes; Falconidae. The transcript has 3 exons.
AAGGGAAUGGCAAGCCAAGGGACUCUGCAGCUGGGAGUGAGGACUGUGGCAUGCAGUUGGGUGCAUCAUCACCUCCUCGAGUGCACAAGAGCUGGUUCCUGAGACAGGCUUGUUACCAGCACAGGAACAAGUCACUGGCCCCUCUCUGAUGCUGCCUGUGCUAUCGGCCGUUAAGAAUAAAGUGAUACCGCCUGGAAAGAAAAGUAGCCAUGAAUGGGGUAAUCAUUAAACAGCUGCAUGCCAGCCUGUUUGGGUCUUUCCUGGGAAGCAAGGACAUUGCACUGGAGUAUAUGGAAGUUCCUAGAAGAAACAACAGACCUCAUAAGGUAAAGACAUCAGGCAGAGCUCUGCUGGCAAUCUGGAAUUUGCAUCAGCAAAUAGCUCUGGGUGUUUGUGCUUGGAGAGGAGCUGUAGCUUGCCUCCCUUGGCAAAAAGGGAAGGGAAAACCAGGCAGCCUCUCCACGCUGACAGAAGUGCUGCUGAGCUCAGGAGCCCUCCCUCUCCUUUGCUAGCUAAAUGUUGAGGGACAGGAGGAAAUCAGUGGGGAAAAGAGUAUUGUAUUUGUGGCUGCUCUGUAGUCAAGGCCUUUAAGUGAUAUAAAUAGGACUUAAAAAAAAAAUAAUUUACUGAGUUCUUUAUGACUUUUAGGAGAUACAAAUAACGAAGAACCUUCUUUGCUUCCCUUGUUUAAAUAUUCGUUGGUUCAGUGAAGGUGGAAAAAAGUCAGAAAGCUGAGUUGGGUCAACAUUACAAGCCUUUGGAAAAAAAAAAAAUAGUAAUAGACUAGCACCUCUCCUCCACCCAGGGUCACAAAACAGAUGAAAUCUAGCGGCUUCGGUAGUUUUUUGCAUGCGUUAUUAUAUAUCUUGAGAGUCUGAUGAAAUGGAAAGACAAUAAAAUUGGAAUCCUAUUACUAUGUAUGUUUCGUGAGAUUAGUAAUUUCACAGUAUAUUAAUUUUUUCCUAGAUUAAAUGUGUAACAGCACUUGAUUUAACAGCGAAGCACGGGUAAGACAGUAUUCCAACAUUGCUGUGAACAUCUGUUCCGAGUUACCACAAUUCCAGCUGAAAAACAAAUAUUUCCACUAUAAAUCAACCAAAACAUCAUCCUGAGUGUUGUAACAGAUGCAAAAUGAUUCUGACUCCCUCUGCCCUGUGGUUUGGCUCUUUCCUUAAAAUUGCUGUGAAUAUAUUUAUUUACACGCUUCAAGAAAUACACAUCUGAAAUGGCUCUUUAAGCUUAUGUAGAAUAUGUCCAAUGUUACUCCAAAGCUAAUAGUCAGUUGAUAGACUAUCUUAGUAACUCCAGAUACUACUAUUAGCAUAAACUCUAGUUACAGCUUUCCAGAUAAACCUGGUCCACAGCAACACUUAAAGUCCUGCCCAAGUGUUCUGAACACUUCAACCCAAUUCUACUAGAAAUGAUGACCUGGAGUUGGUGCAAACGUGGGUACUUGUUUUGAUUUUCGCUUUCGUUCUGUUCUGGUGUGCUUUGGUGGGUUUUUUACCCGCAUUGUUACUGCUGCUAUUCAUCUUUAGUUUCAUGAGCUAAAUGAAUCAGAGGAGAUAUUGAUUUACCUGGGAUAAAGAACUGAGAUUUGUUUACUAAACAUGAAAUUUGGAAAAAGGCCUUGCAAGAGACUUCCUGGUUAGUGGUUUCAGUAUGUGAAUAAAAUGGCUUGUUUAGGCAGAAGCUGCGAUUCCGUACUUUGUUUAAUUGCAUUAAGCUGCAUCUGACCAACUCUGAUUAAAGAUGCUUUCCUUUUUUGAAAUAUUCAUGCGGAACAGAUAAGCCAGAUCAGGAGAGAACUGAACUACGGUAUCAUAAAUAACAACACAGUCUUGCAGGGGGGAAGGAGAAGUCCUUUGGGUUUACCCCUCUUUGCACAAAAUACACUUUGGGGGAAGAAACAGCCCUGUGUUUUGAGGAUGACGUUCUGUAGUUGUUAAUCAUUUUCUGUCUUAAAUGCUUGGAGGAAAACCAGUGUGUGUAGACUAAAUAUAACCGUGCCUUUUGUGAUAGUUGGGAAAUGGGAGCUGCAGGCUAGUUAUCCAGCCCAUAAACAGGAACACAUGGUCCAUCCAAAGAUGUGAUGAUGGCAAACGGAGCACUUAGGGGAAGUAUCAGGGCCCAGCUCACACUGUCACUGUGACAGCAGCAUGUGUCAGACGGGGGUUUUCAGGGGUCUGUGUCAAAGUGAAUGGAAAUCAUAAGAGGGGUCCAGCCAUAAGCACCUGCAUCCCCUUCAGAGGUGUCAAAAUUAUUAUAAAAGUCUAGGACCACAUUGUCUAAAGGCUAUUUGUUAAUUAAGGCAUAACAGUUAAAAAAAAAAAAAGUUGCAUAUAUUUAAAACAGCAUAAGAAUGUGUAUUUUGUUCAACAUUUCUAUUUGUAAAGAGAUUGAAACACAUUCUAUAUGCAGUAGGCUGCAUGCCUUUUAUGGCAUUAUACAUUUGCUUUAUAUAUUGUUAAUUAGACCUAAUUUGGCCCUUGAAAAGAAAAAUCUCAUUAAAAUUCUGAUCAGUGAUGUUGGCAAGCAGCCAUCCAAAAAGCCUCUAUUUCUUCCUUUGAUAAGUUUGAAACUGCUAUAACAAACAGUAAAAACAAGAUCACAGCCUUCUUUCUCAUGCCAAUCAACAUAAUGUAUUCUCCAGGUCAAAGCCAUUUAAGGGAAAAUACAGGAGGAGGACAUCUUUAUUUCCUUGUAUACAUGCUGUCAGAUGGCUACAGAAAACUGUAAGUAUGUUUGUGCCCUUUGGCAGCUUAAAAAAACAACACCAAAAAACAAAAGACUGCCUAUGAAAAUGCUAGUUGUGAGCCUUCAAAAACAACUUACUCGGCAAGGAAAUUAAUUAAAAGAUUUUUUUAAAAAAAAUGAUUUAAAAAUGAAUGGGAAUAAAAAUAAUACAAAGCUGGUAUAAUAUUAAACUAGUUAUGUCUGAUAUUUUCAGUACAACUUUCUGCCUGAUGCUUUUGAUAUAGUUUAAAUUCUAAACGCCUGGCCACGAAAACAUACAGACAAGAAUAUCUUCAGUCCAAAUACAGUCAGUUAUGCACCCACAUCACUGCAGAUCAGAGCAGAUAACUUUAAAAGAAAACUUGGCAUUAAAAAAUAAAGUCAAAGACAGAAUUAAGCAACAAACAAUAGCAAUGCUUCUGUGCUUCCUUGUGUCCGCACGUUUAUCGAAGGGUUAUUAUAAUACAGCUGCCAGCUAUCGUUGUAUUUGUCCCAACUAAUUGAAACCUUUCACUUCAAUGCAUAAAAACAACUUUACGAGGCUGAACGCUGUUUGAAAUGGCAAAUAUGAUGCAUCUCUUCUGUUGUACGUCUUUUCUGUACACAUCUGUCCUCGCAGGAGAUGUUAGCAAUUAAUCUAAUCCUUCAGAAGAUAAAACAGGCAGCAGGACUUUUGCAGAGCUGCUGAGCCCAGAGGAAAGGAGAGGUAGGAGGACUCACAGUUUGAACGCUCCGAAUCCGUUCCUUUCCCUCAGAGCACAAUCCCCAGUGUGCAGCUGCUCCAUCCUGCGUCACAGCACGCGGCAGCCCUGGACACUGAGGGAAACCUGGGAGCAGGGUGGAUGUCACAGAACUGAUCACAGAAGUACAGGACAGAAGGAGAUCCCAAGUUCAGGGCAACCUUGCAAGCCUGAAGCUUGGGGGGUACUAGUCAAUUCAGUGAGUUUCACAGACCUCCUUGAAGAACAUGGGUUUUCAGCACCAAGUUCUACAGAUCCAGAUCUGAUAAGCCUAUGCAUGCAGAAUGCAUCAGGCUACAUUGUGCCUGACCUUCCCCAGCACCCUGCCUCCGGCAAGCGCUCUGAAAACAGCCAUUUGAAGUCAGAGAAAUCUGGGUCAUUGACUUCAAUAGAAACUCUGAAUAAGGAGGAGAUGCUCAGCUCCUGCACCUUUCACUCCUCCCUCCUGUUACAGCUCUGCCUGGGGAUGGGCUGUUUUAUUCUGUGCUCGUGGGUGCUCUUCUAUCUCCAGUAAAACCAAUGCCAACUUCCAAAAUCAAACAGCCUGAGCAUGUAAGAACAGCUAUUUCUAACUGUCUUUCUGCAGCAUGCAAGCCAAAAGUGAGACAGGAAGAGGAACGGAGCAUAGAGGAAUAAAUGGAAGGAUCAAGUUGUUUCUCCCAUUGGCACCAGCUGGGAGUUGUCCUUAUUCAGGGGAAGGUCUGCCGGCAAAACAGGCCAGCUACUCGCUUAUCGCUUGUCUCAAUCCAGUUCUGUCAUCUGGCUGCUUACACCUACUGGGUCUAAACAAUUCGCCAAGGCACCGAGGGCAUUAGGUGCUUGAAACAGGCUUGAGAGGCUGGUUAAUGCUUUACAAGGCUAAGGUUGCUUUAAAAAGCAUAGCAGAGUGUUUGUUCCAAAACUGUAGUCAUCACUGAGAGUAACACUUGCUGAGUUCAAAUCAGGUCAGCUGCCCAGGCAAGUACACGCAUUUGAUCUACUGUCAUGGUAAAGGCUGACUGCAAACCUUGGCAGAGAAAAUUAUUAAUCUUUCAACUCAUAGCAUAUAAGCAAUGACUAGUAAUACCUAUUUUUCUGAGAACUGGAAUGCCUUUUGGAACCGCUCCAGAUUACUUAAGAGAAGUUCCUCUGCCAUCAGCCAAAAGCAGUUCCAAACCUGUCUCUCCCACAUUCAAUUAAACCUAACAAAAAUAAUAAUAAUAAAAUAAAAAAAUAAAGCGAGGCGGGGGCAGAUCAUGGUUCAUUCAACAAGCAUUUUUCCUCUUGCAAGGAGCCACAGCAACUCGCUCAGCUGCACGCCACAUGAGCAAUAAACAUCAAUUUUUAAAUAAUUUAGCACUGUUGGUAGCAGCUUUCACUUGGAAAGCCAAGCAAGGGCUACUUCCAGAACCUCUGCGACGAUGAAGGAAGUGGAGGGCAGACUUUGCUCCUUGGUGCUUCUCAACCUUCUCUUCAAAAGCUGCUGCUUUUUAGCUGCACGUAGGGUGUGGGUAUCUGAACAUCCUCGUGUGGCUUUUUAUGUACUUCUGAGUUCUGUGUUAAAUAUAGCUGGAGAUGUGCCACCAUCUGAGGCCAAUCUGGGAUCAUUUCACUGGUUUAGGAUGAAUUAGAACUAAAACAAAGGCUGAAUCUUGAGCCUCUUCAAAUUCUCAGAUUCUCUCUGGUUUUCUGUGCAUCUCAGUCCUUUCAUCCAUCACUUUGGCUCCUAAAGGCCUGAGAUGGGGCUCACUACCAAUAAACCAGUAGCUAUUUAAGGUACUGGGAAGCAUUUGCUUUUCCAGUCUGUCCUGUGCCUGACCCAAAAGCUUGUUCUCCUGUAUUAUUUAUCCUCUCCGCCUUGUAGCUUGUUAUCCAUCCCCCUGCUUUUGUAGUUCUUUUCUCCGCACAGGACAUAUUUAAAAGAAAACAACCUAACAGAGGAAUUUGGUGACAUCAGCAGCCCAGCUGCGACUGUAUGCAUACCUGAUCAGGGAAGUUUUGCUCAGGUUUGAGAGGCUUCUCCGACUGCACGUACAGUACUGGCUCCUGUUUAACCCUGGGACAGACAGGAUGAGGCGGGCAGAGGAAAGGGCUGGAUUCUUCAGACCAGUCUAGAUUUAAAUGCAUGUGGAGCUCUAGGUUACAAGGUGACUGCAACAGACCUGUCCUCCAGCACAGGAGCAGGCAUCCUUCCGCCUGGCAGUGUCAGCAUUUCCGCUAAGCCGUGAUUAUUGCCCAGCCUUCCUAGCCCAGUUUUAUCUGUGUUUAUGGAGAAAAUACAAGUAGGUCCCCUGGAAGAUACUGGUUAGAUGGAUCCCCAAAGACAAUGUCACCUAAGCUUUCUGUAUAGGUAAGAAAAACUGCAGUCUCGUUUCCAGAAGGUGGUUCCGAA